Molecule: ribosomal RNA, 524 nt
Filed under: Arthrobacter sp. S2
Lineage: Bacteria; Bacillati; Actinomycetota; Actinomycetes; Micrococcales; Micrococcaceae
Description: bacterial SSU rRNA
Rfam family: Bacterial small subunit ribosomal RNA
Source: RNAcentral
UCCUACGGGAGGCAGCAGUGGGGAAUAUUGCACAAUGGGCGCAAGCCUGAUGCAGCGACGCCGCGUGAGGGAUGACGGCCUUCGGGUUGUAAACCUCUUUCAGUAGGGAAGAAGCGUAAGUGACGGUACCUGCAGAAGAAGCGCCGGCUAACUACGUGCCAGCAGCCGCGGUAAUACGUAGGGCGCAAGCGUUAUCCGGAAUUAUUGGGCGUAAAGAGCUCGUAGGCGGUUUGUCGCGUCUGCUGUGAAAGACCGGGGCUCAACUCCGGUUCUGCAGUGGGUACGGGCAGACUAGAGUGCAGUAGGGGAGACUGGAAUUCCUGGUGUAGCGGUGAAAUGCGCAGAUAUCAGGAGGAACACCGAUGGCGAAGGCAGGUCUCUGGGCUGUAACUGACGCUGAGGAGCGAAAGCAUGGGGAGCGAACAGGAUUAGAUACCCUGGUAGUCCAUGCCGUAAACGUUGGGCACUAGGUGUGGGGGACAUUCCACGUUUUCCGCGCCGUAGCCUAAAGCAUUAAGUGCCCC